GAGUUUGAUCAUGGCUCAGAACGUACGCUGGCGGCACGCCUAACACAUGCAAGUCGAACGAAGUAGCAAUACUUAGUGGCAGACGGGUGAGUAACAUGUAGGUAUCUACCCUUUGGCCUGGAAUAACACGAGGAAACUUGUGCUAAUACCGGAUAAGUCUUUACGGAGAAAGCUUUAUGCACCAUUGGAUGAGCCUGCACUUGAUUAGUUUGUUGGUGGGGUAAUGGCCUACCAAGACUGUGAUCAAUAGCUGAUUUGAGAGGAUGAUCAGCCACAUUGGGACUGAGACACGGCCCAAACUCCUACGGGAGGCAGCAGUGGGGAAUCUUGCACAAUGGAGGAAACUCUGAUGCAGCGAUGCCGCGUGAGUGAAGAAGGCCCUUGGGUUGUAAAGCUCUUUCGUCGGGGAAGAAAAUGACUGUACCCGAAUAAGAAGGUCCGGCUAACUUCGUGCCAGCAGCCGCGGUAAUACGAAGGGACCUAGCGUAGUUCGGAAUUACUGGGCUUAAAGAGUUCGUAGGUGGUUGAAAAAGUUAGUGGUGAAAUCCCAGAGCUUAACUCUGGAACUGCCAUUAAAACUUUUCAGCUAGAGUAUGAUAGAGGAAAGCAGAAUUUCUAGUGUAGAGGUGAAAUUCGUAGAUAUUAGAAAGAAUACCAAUUGCGAAGGCAGCUUUCUGGAUCAUUACUGACACUGAGGAACGAAAGCAUGGGUAGCGAAGAGGAUUAGAUACCCUCGUAGUCCAUGCCGUAAACGAUGUGUGUUAGACGUUGGAAAUUUAUUUUCAGUGUCGCAGCGAAAGCGAUAAACACACCGCCUGGGGAGUACGACCGCAAGGUUAAAACUCAAAUGAAUUGACGGGGACCCGCACAAGUAGUGGAGCAUGUGGUUUAAUUCGAAGAUACGCGCAGAACCUUACCAACACUUGACAUGUUCGUCGCGACUCUAAGAGAUUAGAGUUUUCGGUUCGGCCGGACGAAACACAGGUGCUGCAUGGCUGUCGUCAGCUCGUGUCGUGAGAUGUUGGGUUAAGUCCCGCAACGAGCGCAACCCUCACUUUUAGUUGCCAUCAUUAAGUUGGGCACUCUGAAAGAACUGCCAGUGAUAAGCUGGAGGAAGGUGGGGAUGACGUCAAGUCCUCAUGGCCCUUACGUGUUGGGCUACACACGUGCUACAAUGGUAUCUACAACAGGAAGCAAGACUGCGAGGUCAAGCAAAUCCUUAAAAGAUACCUCAGUUCGGAUUGCACUCUGCAACUCGAGUGCAUGAAGCUGGAAUUACUAGUAAUCGUGGAUCAGCGUGCCACGGUGAAUGCGU
Molecule: ribosomal RNA, 1315 nt
Filed under: unidentified marine bacterioplankton
Lineage: Bacteria
Description: bacterial SSU rRNA
Rfam family: Bacterial small subunit ribosomal RNA
Source: RNAcentral